Rhopilema esculentum is the source of this 2220-nucleotide non-coding RNA. Lineage: Eukaryota; Metazoa; Cnidaria; Scyphozoa; Rhizostomeae; Rhizostomatidae. The record is from RefSeq and is a predicted model, not a curated record.
AACAGUCAAAGAUUCUAUUCUAAUUUUUCAUGAAUAAAGAGAAUACAGAGAUACUCUUAAAUUUGGACAUCACUUCUCAUUGAACAUUGUUAUAAAACAAUGAGAUACGACUAGAUCUAAAAACCCUCCCUUUUGAAAUGAACAGAUAAGCAUACAGAAUUUGCAUUACUUCUUCUUGGUUAUUGGGACGAUCGGCACAGAUGGGUAACAAAUAUCCACUUUUCCCCGACUUAUGUGCGUUGCAUGAUUUCUAUAAGAAACUGUUCUUUAAGAAACUUGGAUGGCCGCUAAGAGCUAGAGGGGAGGUGGCUCAAAAUCUUAACGGCAACAUGCAAUUAAGAAUCACAAAAUCUGUUUUGGUACGACCCCUUAGCUUUUCCUCUAAUGAAAGUGUGAAGCUCCUGAAGGAAUCAAGCAUUCUCACAGAAAUUUUAAAUGUAUUAAUAUUAGAUGUUAGAGUAAAAUAAAGGUAGAAACCUGCAGGACACAAACACUUGCUAUAAGGGACAUCUGAAAUUAUUGGGAAUAUAUAUUUCACUUUUUUCAUAAAUAAUAAAACCCAACCUUGAGGUUAGGCUUAUGAUUUUACAGAUAACAAACAUUGGCAAUACAAAGGAUGUACUUCUGUCUAUUAAUUUUCAGUCCGAAAACAUAUUGAAACAUGCUCUUCGUAUAUGCCAUUAUAUCAUCAUUUCAGUAGUCGUAGCAAACUUUCAUCCUUUGUAAACGACAGUAGAGACAAUAGCAACUUGCAACGGCAAAAAAUUGAGAAAUGCUGCAGAUCUCGUUUUAAAGAUUUUUCAAUUGCUGAACGUGGUUCCUCCCAGCUCCAACCUGGCUACGUCCUUUUUAUGAUAGCAAAUUGCACCUAUUAGUAUUGAUAGUGUUAAGCUAACCAUUUUUUUCCAGUGUUGAUGCUACAGAGCCCUCUGGUCGUCUUGGAAGAUUGGUGAACGAUAGCAAGCUGGGAAACUGCAAGAUGCAGAAAGUUAUGGUUGGCCAAGUUCCCCAUCUUUGCUUGUUCGCCACAAGAACUAUUACGCAGGGGGAAGAACUUCGAUACGACUAUGGCUUGGAUGAUCUUCCUUGGCGAAAACAGGAAGGGGUUGCUAAAGGAAAACGAAAAAAGACCCUAAAAGCAGAUCAUGAAGAAAUUGGCCAAGCCAAGAGCCAAGAAAAGCAACGGGUAAAUUUGUCAAUUUUCUUUUAUUUACAGAAACAAAAUUUUAUCUACGAUUUGCAAGUUCUUAUCUUAUCUUCAUGAGUCAAUUAAGCUUUUACUGUGGUGUUUAUCAAACUAGGUUAUUUGGAGUUAAAUCCUUUAAACUGCCUUUUAUAUACAUUUACAAUAAAAAUUUACAUUUAAAUAAAUAUGUUUAUUGAAAAUGCCGUCUGAAAGUAGGGACUUUGAGCAAGGAACUCUUUUCCCUCGAAAGAAACCAGUGGUGGCGCCAGAGGGGGGGCAGGGGGGGCUACAGCCCCCCCGUCGGAGGAGGCUAGCCCCUCCGUCGGAAGAUAAAUUAUGCUUGAAUUUUUUUUGUCGGAGCGAAUUUUUUAAGUUUUGGCGGAAAUAGAAAUUUCUAAAAGGACUGUUAUCAGAAUUCAGGAAGCUCAUCCCAAAACAACUCAUCGACACAUCAAUUUCAUGGUAAAUAAUAAUCUGUUAUAAGAAGUUUGAAUUGGUUGUUUAGAUGUUCAGUACCAGGUGUUUUCCGCAUGCUGUUAAAUUUGAUCUUAUGUUAUGGAUAGUGCAGUUCGUCCAAAUCUUGCUUGCUAUAACCAACCUACAACAUCGGAAUAUUUUUGUGCGAUAGCGAUAUGGCAACAAAUGUUACCCGUUUCAGUGUUAGAUGUAGUAUAUGUAAUGACGUAUUUAACAAUGAUUACGCUGCCCGCCACACGAAGUCCAAGCACAAAGAUUUGGCUGCAAUGGGAAGGACUGCUCCUACGACGGCAAUAGUUGAAACGGACUCGCAGCAGAGAAAAAUAAAAACAUUUUUUCAAUCAAAAGGCGGUACUUUUCCAAAGAAACGAAAGGUUAAUGAUUUUGAAACUGAAAGAACAACAGAAGACCCCGAAGAACAAGAAGUUGAAAUUUCGAAAAUUCAAGACGAAGAGCAAAUCGAACGUGGUAUGUUAUACGUUUUAAUAUUUAAGUCCUUUUAAUACGAGGAAAAACACUUAGCAAAGGGCUUCAGCCAUAAAAACAAUCAAACUCAU